GCGCACGGACCAAGCUGGAGACGGGACCAGAUUGUCGAUCUGGACAGUGGCGAGUUCGAUCCUCGUCGUGCGCGCCA
This 77-nucleotide transfer RNA is filed under the name Alphaproteobacteria bacterium. RNAcentral describes it as "tRNA-Asp". RNAcentral also lists the same sequence under 1 other name. Lineage: Bacteria; Pseudomonadati; Pseudomonadota; Alphaproteobacteria. The record is from RNAcentral.